AUGUCGUGCGACGGCGACGAGGAAGAGCGCCCCGUCCUUACCUCGACGCUGCCGCCUCAGGUGAAAGUGAAAAUCGAAUCCCCCGACGAGGUCGAUGUGAAGAUGGGGCCAUUCCAUCCCGACUCCGACGAGGUGAUUAUGAAGGUCGAGGCCCACGGUGGGAUCGAGGUCAAGAGGGAGCGAACCCAUGCCGACCACGGCGAGGUGAAGGUUGAAGCCGCCGGCGAGGUCGAGGCAAAGAGGGAGCCAAUCGAUGCGGACUCCGACAAGGUGAAGCUUGAAUCUCCCGCCGUGGUCGAGGCCAAGAUCAAGAGGGAGCCAAUCGAUGCCGACAUCAAGCAUGGCCGGGUCAAGAAGGAGGAGCAACCCGACGAGAUCAAGGUCCCGGUAAAGGAGGAACGACGCAAAACUGCGUCGCCGCGCCAUGUAAAGGAGGAAGAGGAGGAUGACUCUAGUGAAGACGAGGUGGAGAUCAUUGACCCCCCGCCGAAGUCCAAGAAGAGAAACCGCGGAGACGAGGACGACGUAGUCUUCAUCGAUCUCACGACGUCCCGCCCGGCGCCUUACCUGAACCCAAAGCCCAUCCGGGCAAUGCCGCCGGCGGGGGCCACGCCAGUGAGCGAUUGGAAGAUGGUUGUGGCGCCGCAGCCGGCGGAGCUGGACGAGUACCCACCGGACCACCGCGAAUGGGUCUUCUUCACAAAGUCCUAUGCCACCGGGCUGUCCACUUGUCGCGGGAGGAAGUGGCUGGACGCCGGCGAGGUCGUCCACUUCGCCUUCCCUUCGCACGAAGGCAGGAUCAGGGUGUCGUACAGGCAGGCGGUGGCGCUGGCAGAGAUCGUGCGCUUCUCGACAAACCGAGCUGGAGAGAUCGGGAAGUUGUCUCCGGAGUGGGCGAGGUGCCUUGCCCCGCUGGUGAGUUCUUCCAAGGUUAUGAUCCAGGGGAAGAUGGUGUUUCCGAUGAUGGAGCUCAGGCUGAUGCAGGAGGUGUUGCUGUAUGUCAGCUUCUACAUCCACCGCUCGUCCUUGUACCUGAUUUCUCCUAAAAAUGAAUGUCAUCCAAACAAUCCCCUCCGCGGCCUCUUCAAGUUGCUUCGGCGAUUCGGCGUAGCUGAAGCCUGA
RNAcentral lists this ribosomal RNA (1122 nucleotides) under Triticum aestivum (bread wheat). RNAcentral's name for it is "partial small subunit ribosomal RNA". The record is from RNAcentral. Lineage: Eukaryota; Viridiplantae; Streptophyta; Magnoliopsida; Poales; Poaceae.